This 307-nucleotide ribosomal RNA is filed under the name Eutropis carinata (many-keeled grass skink). RNAcentral's name for it is "partial 12S ribosomal RNA". The record is from RNAcentral. Lineage: Eukaryota; Metazoa; Chordata; Lepidosauria; Squamata; Scincidae.
GACUUGGCGGUGCUCCAUAUCACCCUAGAGGAGCCUGUCCUAUAAUCGAUACCCCCCGUUCCACCCUACCAUUUUUUGCAAAUCAGCUUAUAUACCGCCGUCGCCAGCUUACCUUAUGAAAGACCAAAAGUAAGCAAAAUAGCUACAAGCUAAUACGUCAGGUCAAGGUGUAGCACAUAAAAUGGAAGAGAUGGGCUACAUUCUCUUAUACAGAUAAUACGAACACCACAGUGAAACCCGUGCUUGAAGGAGGAUUUAGCCGUAAGGCAAAUAAGAGCAUUUGCCUAAACCCCGCUCUGGAGCGCGC